This 433-nucleotide ribosomal RNA is filed under the name uncultured bacterium. Its description in RNAcentral is "partial 16S ribosomal RNA". It matches the Rfam family "Bacterial small subunit ribosomal RNA", at positions 29 to 507 of the family's 1533-position model. The record is from RNAcentral.
AGCGAACGCUGGCGGCAGGCCUAACACAUGCAAGUCGAACGGACCCUUCGGGGUUAGUGGCGGACGGGUGAGUAACACGUGGGAACGUGCCUUUAGGUUCGGAAUAGCUCCUGGAAACGGGUGGUAAUGCCGAAUGUGCCCUUCGGGGGAAAGAUUUAUCGCCUUUAGAGCGGCCCACGUCUGAUUAGCUAGUUGGUGAGGUAACGGCUCACCAAGGCGACGAUCAGUAGCUGGUCUGAGAGGAUGACCAGCCACACUGGGACUGAGACACGGCCCAGACUCCUACGGGAGGCAGCAGUGGGGAAUCUUGCGCAAUGGGCGAAAGCCUGACGCAGCCAUGCCGCGUGAAUGAUGAAGGUCUUAGGAUUGUAAAAUUCUUUCAACGGGGACGAUAAUGACGGUACCCGGAGAAGAAGCCCCGGCUAACUUCGUG